Molecule: ribosomal RNA, 1155 nt
Filed under: uncultured organism
Description: bacterial SSU rRNA
Rfam family: Bacterial small subunit ribosomal RNA
Source: RNAcentral
ACAUUAGUUUGUUGGUGAGGUAACGGCUCACCAAGACCACGAUGUCUAGGGGGUCUGAGAGGAUGGUCCCCCACACUGGUACUGAGACACGGACCAGACUCCUACGGGAGGCAGCAGUGAGGAAUAUUGGUCAAUGGGCGAAAGCCUGAACCAGCCAUGCCGCGUGAAGGAUGACAGCGCUACGCGUUGUAAACUUCUUUUGUACGGGAAGAAACACUUCUACUUGUAGAAGCUUGACGGUACCGUACGAAUAAGCAUCGGCUAACUCCGUGCCAGCAGCCGCGGUAAUACGGAGGAUGCAAGCGUUAUCCGGAUUUAUUGGGUUUAGAGGGUACGUAGGCGGGAAAUUAAGUCAGUGGUGAAAAUCCUGCAGCUCAACUGUAGAACUGUCAUGAAUACUGGUUUCCUUGAAUGUAAUUGAGGUAGGCGGAAUGUGUAAUGUAACGGUGAAAUGCUUAGAUAUUACACAGAACACCGAUUGCGAAGGCAGCUUACUAAACUACGAUUGACGCUGAGGUACGAAAGCGUGGGGAGCGAACAGGAUUAGAUACCCUGGUAGUCCACGCUGUAAACGAUGAUCACUCGUUGUUGGCGAUAUACUGUCAGCGACUGAGCGAAAGCAUUAAGUGAUCCACCUGGGGAGUACGACCGCAAGGUUGAAACUCAAAGGAAUUGACGGGGGCCCGCACAAGCGGAGGAACAUGUGGUUUAAUUCGAUGAUACGCGAGGAACCUUACCUGGGCUUAAAUGCAGAACGACGGACCGGGAAACUGGUCUUUCUUCGGACGGACUGCAAGGUGCUGCAUGGCUGUCGUCAGCUCGUGCCGUGAGGUGUCGGGUUAAGUCCCAUAACGAGCGCAACCCUCAUCAUUAGUUGCCAGCGGGUAAUGCCGGGGACUCUAAUGAAACUGCCGGUGUAAACCGAGAGGAAGGUGGGGACGACGUCAAGUCAGCACGGCCCUUAUGUCCAGGGCUACACACGUGUUACAAUGGUCGGUACAAAGGGCAGCUACCUGGCAACAGGAUGCUAAUCUCGAAAACCGAUCUUAGUUCGGAUCGAAGUCUGCAACUCGACUUCGUGAAGCUGGAUUCGCUAGUAAUCGCGCAUCAGCCACGGCGCGGUGUAUACGUUCCCGGGCCUUGUACACACCGCCC